GAUUUCUGGCACGGUGCGCUUGGUCCGCCCCUUUAUGGUGUGUGAGUACCGACGCGCGCCUGCCAUCCUUCUGGGGAGGGCGUCUACCCUUUACUGGGCCGGGCGUUCGACCUAGAUCGUUUACUUUGAAAAAAUUAGAGUGUUUAAAGCAGGCAUAUUGCUCUGAAUACAUUAGCAUGGAAUAAUAAGAUAGGACUUUGGUUCUAUUUUGUUGGUUUCUAGGACUGAAGUAAUGAUUGAUAGGGAUAGUUGGGGGUGCUAGUAUUGAUUGGCCAGAGGUGAAAUUCUUGGAUUCAAUCAAGACUAACUUAUGCGAAAGCAUU
RNAcentral lists this ribosomal RNA (323 nucleotides) under Granofilosea sp. Its description in RNAcentral is "SSU rRNA". The stretch from base 108 to 323 matches the Rfam family "Eukaryotic small subunit ribosomal RNA", at positions 739 to 955 of the family's 1831-position model. Lineage: Eukaryota; Cercozoa. The record is from RNAcentral.